CUAAUACCGCAUACGUCCUACGGGGGAAAGCAGGGGACCUUCGGGCCUUGCGCUAUCAGAUGAGCCUAGGUCGGAUUAGCUAGUUGGUGGGGUAAUGGCUCACCAAGGCUAGGAUCCGUAACUGGUCUGAGAGGGUGAUCAGUCACACUGGGAGUGAGACACGGUCCAGCCUCCUACGGGAGGCAGCAGUGGGGAAUAUUGGUCAAUGGGCGAAAGCCGGAUCCAAAGAGGCCGCGUGUGUGAAGAAGGUCUUCG
This 255-nucleotide ribosomal RNA is filed under the name uncultured bacterium. Its description in RNAcentral is "partial 16S ribosomal RNA". It matches the Rfam family "Bacterial small subunit ribosomal RNA", at positions 163 to 420 of the family's 1533-position model. The record is from RNAcentral.